UUGCAAUGAAAAUAAAUGUUUUUUAUUAGGCAGAAUCCAGAUGCUCAAGGCCCUUCAUAAUAUCCCCCAGUUUAAAAUUGGACAGCAAGAAAGCGAGCUUAGUGAUACUUGUGGGCCAGGGCAUUAGCCACACCAGCCACCACUUUCUGAUAGGCAGCCUGCACUGGGCCUCACCACCAACUUCAUCCACGUUCACCUUGCCCCACAGGGCAGUAACGGCAGACUUCUCCUCAGGAGUCAGAUGCACCAUGGUGUCUGUUUGAGGUUGCUAGUGAACACUGUUAUGUCAGAAGAAAGUGUAAGCAACAGUCGACUCUGCCCUGCCUUUUAUGCUGG
RNAcentral lists this long non-coding RNA (336 nucleotides) under Homo sapiens (human). RNAcentral's name for it is "HSALNT0361108". Lineage: Eukaryota; Metazoa; Chordata; Mammalia; Primates; Hominidae. The record is from RNAcentral.